RNAcentral lists this ribosomal RNA (458 nucleotides) under uncultured bacterium. RNAcentral describes it as "bacterial SSU rRNA". It matches the Rfam family "Bacterial small subunit ribosomal RNA", at positions 339 to 794 of the family's 1533-position model. The record is from RNAcentral.
CUACGGGAGGCAGCAGUGAGGAAUAUUGGUCAAUGGACGCAAGUCUGAACCAGCCAUGCCGCGUGCAGGAUGACGGUCCUAUGGAUUGUAAACUGCUUUUGUACAGGAAGAAACAUCUCUACGUGUAGAGACUUGACGGUACUGUAAGAAUAAGGAUCGGCUAACUCCGUGCCAGCAGCCGCGGUAAUACGGAGGAUCCAAGCGUUAUCCGGAAUCAUUGGGUUUAAAGGGUCCGUAGGCGGCUUAGCAAGUCAGUGGUGAAAUCUCCCCGCUCAACGGGGAAACGGCCAUUGAUACUACUAGGCUUGAAUUAUUAGGAAGUAACUAGAAUAUGUAGUGUAGCGGUGAAAUGCUUAGAUAUUACAUGGAAUACCAAUUGCGAAGGCAGGUUACUACUAAUUGAUUGACGCUGAUGGACGAAAGCGUGGGGAGCGAACAGGAUUAGAUACCCCGGUAGC